RNAcentral lists this long non-coding RNA (538 nucleotides) under Terrapene triunguis (Three-toed box turtle). RNAcentral describes it as "Terrapene carolina triunguis (Three-toed box turtle) lncRNA (ENSTMTG00000012793.1)". The record is from RNAcentral. Lineage: Eukaryota; Metazoa; Chordata; Testudines; Emydidae.
GUUAGGCCAGAAUUCACAGACCGCAGCUGCAGCUACGUGAGCACCAAGGAAGCAGGUCCUGCUGGAGAGUGCUUAUUUCAAAGCUGGAAAUUCUGAGCUGCCAAAGGCUCCAAUUACUACCCCUGAGGAAUAAAGUUAUGGAAGGAUUGGGCUGCAUUAAACGACAAGAAAUUAUAAGAUCCACCUGGAAAAGCCUGAGAGAACAGAAGGUGUGACCUGAAGGUCCCGGAGGUGAACAGGACCUAGAGCUGGUUGAAUAAUGACAACAUACUCAUGAAAUAAUUCUACCAGCUCUCCAAGGACCUCUACCCAUUUACGACUUUACAGACUAAAGCCAACAUCUCAGAAUACACCAUGUCACGACUAGAACGAAGAAACUGCAGCCCCAUGAAGAGCACAUGGCAAUAAUCCUAUCUCCAAGUGGCUAAAUCAUGGGUCAUUGAGGUGAGGACCCCAUAUGAAAGAAAAAAUUACAAUCUACUGGCUGGUAGUAAUGCUGUGAAGUGCUUUUGUCUAGAGCUACUAUCGGGGUGUCUAG